GGGGGAAAAAUUAAUAAAUUAUAAUUAAUAAAAAAAUUUUUAAUAAAAAUAUUUAAUGGGGGUUAAAGUAUUUUUUUUUGAAAAAAUAAAAAAAUUUAUAAUAAAUUAGUAUUGUAAAAGAAAUUUGAAAUAAUAUUAAAAAAAAAUUAUUUAAAAGUAAAUUUAAUUUAUUGUAUCUUGUGUAUCAGAGUUUAUUAAUAGAAAUUUUUAAUAAAAAAAUUCUCGAAUUUAAAAGAGUUAAUUAAUUAUAAAAUUUAAUGUAGUAUAAUUAUUUUUAAUAAUUAAUUAGAAAUGAAAUGUUAAUCGUUUUUAAAUAUAUCUAGUUUUUUUAGAAAAAAAUUUAAUUUUUAAUAUUAAAUUAUAAAAUUUUUAUUUAUGAAAAUUUUAUAAUUUAAUAUUUAAUAUUUUAAGGGAUAAGCUUUAAAAUAAAUUUUUAUAAUAAUUUUAUAUAUUAAUAUUAAAAAUUUUAAAAUUUAUAUUGUUUAUAAAUUAUAAUUUUUUAUAAAUAAUUUUAAUUUUAAUUAAAAUUUAAAUUGAAUUUAUUUAAUUUUUUAUAAAUAAAAUAAUUUUUAAUAAAAUUUAAUUAGAUAUAAUGAUAAAAUUAGUAUAUUAAUAUUUUAAUAAUAUUUAUUAAAAAAAAAAUUAUUAAAAGGAAUUCGGCAAAUUUUUAUAUUCACUUGUUUAUCAAAAACAUGUCUUUUUGAGAAUAAUUUAAAGUCUGUUCUGCCCACUGAUUAAUUAAUUAAAGGGCUGCAGUAUUUUGACUGUACAAAGGUAGCAUAAUCAAUAGUCUCUUAAUUGGUGACUUGUAUGAAGGAUUUGAUGAAAUAUAAGCUGUCUCUUAAUAAAUUAUAAAAUUUAAUUUUUUAGUAAAAAAGCUAAGAUAUUUUUAAAAGACGAGAAGACCCUAUAGAGUUUUAUAAUUAUAAUAAUUUUUAUUUUUUAUGAAAUUUUUAAUUAAAAUUAAAUUAAUUAUUUUAUUGGGGUGAUAGAAAAAUUAAAUAAACUUUUUUUAAAAAAUUUACAUUUAUUUAUGAUUAAAUGAUCCAUUAAUAUUGAUUAUAAGAAAAAAUUACCUUAGGGAUAACAGCGUAAUUUUUUUUUUUAGUUCAAAUAAGAAAAAAAGUUUGCGACCUCGAUGUUGGAUUAAGAUAAAAUUUAAAUGCAAAAGUUUAAAAUUUUUGAUCUGUUCGAUCAUUAAAAUCUUACAUGAUCUGAGUUCAAACCGGUGUAAGCCAGGUUGGUUUCUAUCUUUAAAUAAAUAAAAUAUUUUAGUACGAAAGGAUUAAAUAUUUAAAAUAAUUUUAAAUAAAAGAAUUUUAUUAAUAAUUUUAUUAUAAUUACUAUUUUGACAGAAAAAUGU
This 1363-nucleotide ribosomal RNA is filed under the name Eurytides protesilaus. Its description in RNAcentral is "Protesilaus protesilaus 16S ribosomal RNA". The stretch from base 1083 to 1242 matches the Rfam family "Eukaryotic large subunit ribosomal RNA", at positions 2825 to 2984 of the family's 3401-position model. Lineage: Eukaryota; Metazoa; Arthropoda; Insecta; Lepidoptera; Papilionidae. The record is from RNAcentral.